UCACUGAUUCCAGGAGAUAGUGAAGGAUGGGGAAGCCUGGUGUGCUGCAGUUUAUGGGGUCACAAAGAGUCGGAUGCAACUUAAUGACUGAACAAUAACAACAUAUAGACUUACUAUUGACUGGGAAGGCUUCUGUGUUGGGGAGUUGGGGUGCAAGGUUAACACUGUGGAUCACUGAGCCUGAGGAUGGUGAUCAGAUUUUAGAGCCAGAAUAUCUGAGUCUGACUUCCAACUCCACAAAAUAACAACUAUAUGACCUUAAACAGGACACACCUCUGAUCAAGCAUCAAUUCUUUCUUCUCUAUUGAUUGAGGUUGAAAUAAAUGCCCUUUCACCUGUUCAGAGGGUUCUCACAACCUCAAAAUGAGGUUGUUGGGAAGGAGCAAAUUAGCCAAAGCGGCAGUGGUUAGGCUCUCUCGCCCCAUGCCCUCUCGCUCUCCCCCCAUGUCUUGUAAGUAAUGAUUUUGUAGCAGCUGAGCUCACUUAUAGCACCGCACAUACACCUCACGAGCUACGUGCUUGGCCAUGGGCUACUUCUGUUCUGUGAGCAUACGUAAGCUCCACCUGGAAAGCCCUUGAGGGCAUGUUGGGCUGUGUGGUGUUAUGUUAUGUCUGCUGCUGCCAUGUGGGAACCAAAAAAGGUUGAGUCUGCUUCUUGGGUGCACUUUGAUAAUUUAAAAGGUCUGGAUAUGUCCCAGGGCCAGAGUCUGCCCACCCAUGCCUUAUGCCACAGCCUCCUUCCUCCAGGAGCACGCCUGUUUCUCUGUGUGUGAGGAGGUGUCUGCUGUAGUAAGGGGUGUUGCUGCUGCUGUUUUCACAGGGAACAUUCAAGAGCUGAUGGGCUUCCUGGAUCCCAUAUCCCAAAUAAUUAAGUCAACAUGGUUAUCCACCAUUCCUGAUUCAGAUCCUGAAGUUGGGACUCACAGCUCACAUCCAGGAAAUCCUGGAGCAAAAAGUCAGUAACCACCUGAGUAAUAACGCUCUUGAUCUCAUCUGAAAGCACGCCUACUUGUUUCAAUCUCCGAAUAAAAUCACAAA
This is a long non-coding RNA of Bos taurus (domestic cattle), 1038 nucleotides long. Lineage: Eukaryota; Metazoa; Chordata; Mammalia; Artiodactyla; Bovidae. The record is from Ensembl.